Molecule: ribosomal RNA, 636 nt
Filed under: Coelostoma orbiculare
Lineage: Eukaryota; Metazoa; Arthropoda; Insecta; Coleoptera; Hydrophilidae
Description: eukaryotic LSU rRNA
Rfam family: Eukaryotic large subunit ribosomal RNA
Source: RNAcentral
GGAGUCUAGCAUGUGCGCGAGUCAUUGGGAAUCACUAAACCUAAAGGCGCAAUGAAAGUGAAGGUCCGCCUUGCGCGGACCGAGGGAGGAUGGGCCGCGACACGUUGCGGCCUCGCACUCCCGGGGCGUCUCGUUCUCAUUGCGAGAAGAGGCGCACCCAGAGCGUACACGCUGGGACCCGAAAGAUGGUGAACUAUGCCUGGUCAGGACGAAGUCAGGGGAAACCCUGAUGGAGGUCCGUAGCGAUUCUGACGUGCAAAUCGAUCGUCGGAACUGGGUAUAGGGGCGAAAGACUAAUCGAACCAUCUAGUAGCUGGUUCCCUCCGAAGUUUCCCUCAGGAUAGCUGGCGCUCGCGUAGCGAGUCUCAUCCGGUAAAGCGAAUGAUUAGAGGCAUUGGGGUCGAAACGGCCUCAACCUAUUCUCAAACUUUAAAUGGGUGAGAUCUCCGGCUUGCUCGAACGUGAAGCCGUGAGAUUUUCUCAAAGGAUCAGAGUGCCAAGUGGGCCACUUUUGGUAAGCAGAACUGGCGCUGUGGGAUGAACCAAACGCAGAGUUAAAGCGCCUAAAUUGACGCUUAUGGGAUACCAUGAAAGGCGUUGGUAACUUAAGACAGCAGGACGGUGGCCAUGGAAGUC